CGGCGGACGGGUGAGUAACACGUGGAUAACCUACCUAUAAGACUGGGAUAACUACGGGAAACCGGAGCUAAUACCGGAUAAUAUAUUGAACCGCAUGGUUCAAUAGUGAAAGACGGUUUUGCUGUCACUUAUAAAUGGAUCCGCGCCGCAUUAGCUAGUUGGUAAGGUAACGGCUUACCAAGGCAACGAUGCGUAGCCGACCUGAGAGGGUGAUCGGCCACACUGGAACUGAGACACGGUCCAG
RNAcentral lists this ribosomal RNA (244 nucleotides) under uncultured Staphylococcus sp. Its description in RNAcentral is "partial 16S ribosomal RNA". It matches the Rfam family "Bacterial small subunit ribosomal RNA", at positions 96 to 334 of the family's 1533-position model. The record is from RNAcentral. Lineage: Bacteria; Bacillati; Bacillota; Bacilli; Caryophanales; Staphylococcaceae.